Long non-coding RNA from Carassius auratus (goldfish), 372 nucleotides. RefSeq lists it as uncharacterized. The record is from RefSeq and is a predicted model, not a curated record. NCBI's taxonomy places the organism in Eukaryota, Metazoa, Chordata, Actinopteri, Cypriniformes, Cyprinidae. The transcript has 2 exons.
CAGCAGCAGGGAGGACUUCAGAGACUGGAGCUUCUCCAUGAUCAUGAAUCUCUACAAUUUGCUGUAGAGAAGACUGGUCUACAGAGGGGAAUACCAAUACAGAAUUUACUGGAGCAUCGACGUCCUGAUGUUGGAGGACGUCCUGCUCCAGCUGAUCCUCAGCGAUGAGGACUUCAGAGACUGGAGCUUCAUGAAGAUCACAGAUGUCUAUAAUGUGCUGUAGAGAUGACUGAUCUAAAGAAGGGAAUACCAGUAAUAUUUAUAGAAUAUUGUAUAAUCAGAUUACAGCAGUUUUUCAAGGGGUCUUUUGAAAGAAAUAAACAUCUCCAAACAAUGUAAAUUGAUUGGUUUCUAAAUAAAAGUGUGUACUGA